AUUGAACGCUGGCGGCAGGCCUAACACAUGCAAGUCGAGCGGGGACUUCGGUCCUAGCGGCGAACGGGUGAGUAAUGCUUGGGAAUCUGUCCAGUAGUGGGGGAUAACGUCCCGAAAGGGACGCUAAUACCGCAUACGUCCUACGGGAGAAAGAGGGGGAUCUUCGGACCUCUCGCUAUUGGAUGAGCCCAAGUCGGAUUAGCUAGUUGGUAGGGUAAUGGCCUACCAAGGCGACGAUCCGUAGCUGGUCUGAGAGGAUGAUCAGCCACACUGGAACUGAGACACGGUCCAGACUCCUACGGGAGGCAGCAGUGGGGAAUAUUGGACAAUGGGCGAAAGCCUGAUCCAGCCAUGCCGCGUGUGUGAAGAAGGCCUUCGGGUUGUAAAGCACUUUAAGCGGGGAGGAAGGUUCGCGGCCUAAUACGUCGCGGAAUUGACGUUACCCGCAGAAUAAGCACCGGCUAACUCUGUG
This 472-nucleotide ribosomal RNA is filed under the name uncultured bacterium. Its description in RNAcentral is "partial 16S ribosomal RNA". It matches the Rfam family "Bacterial small subunit ribosomal RNA", at positions 30 to 507 of the family's 1533-position model. The record is from RNAcentral.